AUUGAACGCUGGCGGCAGGCUUAACACAUGCAAGUCGAACGAAGUGGCGGACGGGUGAGUAACGCGUCAUCAACCUGCCCUUAAGGGGGGAACACCAGUUGGAAACGACUGCUAAUACCGCAUACGGAAGGAGGGGAUUGCGGCGGAUUAGCUAGGUGGAGGGGUAACGGCCCACCAAGGCGAUGAUCAGUCGGCGGUCUGGGAGGAAGAACCGGCACAGUGGGACUGAGACACGGGCCAGAAGCCGACUGGAGGCAGCAGGGGGGAAACUUCCGAAAUGGACGAAAGUCUUACGGAGCACCGCCGCGGUAGUGAUGACGGGCCUCGGGUUGUAAAGGUCUGUUAAUCGGGACGCGGUACCGGAAGAGAAAGCCCCGGCUAACUACGUGCCAGCCGCCGCGGUAAUAC
Molecule: ribosomal RNA, 408 nt
Filed under: uncultured bacterium
Lineage: Bacteria
Description: partial 16S ribosomal RNA
Rfam family: Bacterial small subunit ribosomal RNA
Source: RNAcentral